Molecule: long non-coding RNA, 1067 nt
Organism: Miniopterus natalensis
Lineage: Eukaryota; Metazoa; Chordata; Mammalia; Chiroptera; Miniopteridae
Source: RefSeq, a predicted model, not a curated record
CACUUCAAAUAGGGGAGGCCAAUCUAAACCUAGAAAUAAUUUCUUUCAGUAAGGCGUUUCUUACUUCAGAGGUCUUCUCUGAUCUACAGGGGAAUGCUUCAACCCAUCCUCUGAGAGCAUCUGCAAAGACCAUCUGCAAAGAGCAUCUGGACCCCUCUGACUUCUGGGUGAGGUCCUGUUUUAGGAUUAUUUCCGGCACAGAUAAUGCAUUUCUGAGUUAUCUUUUGAGCAGUUCUUUGCAUAUGUGGCCCAGUAAUAAUUUCUGCAUCCAUUGGAGAGUGGCAUCCCGUCCAUAACGAGUGCUCUGGUAGAAGGACCUGUUUCCUGCAUCAGGCGUUUUGGGAUCAGAAUGAUCGCCUGUUCAUUGCUAAUCCAUCCAUCUUUCUGGUGAUACAACCCAGCAUAACUCCUGACUGUCCCUGCAAAUUAAGUGCGAUGUGCACCCCUCUGAGCUGCAUGUCAGCCUCCAUGGAAGAUACCAUCGCUGGUAACUGAACUCCUUCAAACAGGAGCCCAGGGCUGCCCGAGUUUACCUGAGGGAAUUCUUCUUGUGAGGAUCACACAGCCUUCACUGCCCUAACCUCAGCUCCUCCACCAUCUGGGAUCUGGACACGGGGCUUUAACUCUUCAGCUACCCUUUGGUGCUUCCUGUGCUUAGGGGCUGGUUAGCUGCUUGGGUAUGAGUCCUCUGUCAGUGACACCAGAGAGAGGCUUGCUGGCAUGGACUGGGACCACCCACCACCAGUCCUGAGCCAGGAACCCAGGUGGGAGAAAAGGAAUGGCUAUAAGGGACCACCGUUCUUACUGCUAAACCAGGAGCUCUCUGCAUGAAGAUGGAAGGAUUACAAACGUUGCCUUCAAACUGGGACGGGACUUCAAGUCAUUUACUACAACUUCCCCAUCUUACGGAUGAGGAAACUGAGGGCUAGAGUGGUGACGUGGUUUUCCCAACUGGCUCACAGCAGCCUUGCAAAUCGAGGCCCAGGUCCUCUUCUUCACACCAAGUAGUAAAAGCACAUUGUUGGUUGGGUGUCAUUCCGUGCACUGAAAGGUUGCUGGUUCGAUUC